RNAcentral lists this long non-coding RNA (1006 nucleotides) under Oreochromis niloticus (Nile tilapia). RNAcentral's name for it is "lncRNA (ENSONIG00000039458.1)". The record is from RNAcentral. Lineage: Eukaryota; Metazoa; Chordata; Actinopteri; Cichliformes; Cichlidae.
AUGUGUGAGUGGACUGAUUUGGGAGUUCAUGCUGGUGUGGUAAAAACGCUGACUGCUGAUCCCUGCCGAUUAUUAAUGUGCAAGUCAGCGAGACACAAAAUCGUCAUCCUGUUGUCACCAUUACAGAUCUGCAGCCACAGGGUGUGUUUCUAUUUUAACUGGUUGCUUGAAUUUCAGCCAUAUGUGUGUGUGACACAUCACAUGUCCAUCAUCAAGGGAAGUCCUUCUGUUCAUAAAGGGUCCUGUCGCUGUGUUCUUCUUUGAGGAUGGAGUCCCCAUGGGUGCGUACGUGUGGAAACACUAACACCAUCCAUCCUAAAAUCCGGAAUCAAUACAAGUCAUCCACUCGAGUGACUGAGCUGUGACUGACUCAACCGAUGAUGAAUGAGCCGUCAGCACAACGCCUACUCCUCACCAGCUCUGUUAUUGUGACAUCUAACACAAUGAAGCAAUAAAUGUCAUUAGAUCUGAGGCAAAUGAAGCGUACUCUCACUGCAAACUGCUCAAGGGGAAAGGGCACCAUCCAAAUCCUGAUGCGAGCAGCCUGAUCUGAACUCAGUUUUGUUGCAUCAGUUUUCUUCUGCGCUCAUUAGGUCUCUAAAGUUCAUCCCAGACUAAUAUGCCGGUGAACUCUGUCUGCCAUCUAGUGUGGAGACCAUGAAAUGAUCUCCACAGCAUUACCAACAUUCUGCCAGUGUUAAAAAAAACACUGGCAGAAUGGCAGAAACACUCUUUGUAUUUGGGUACUGUACUUCUUUUUUACACUUCACACUUAAUUCACUAAAUUAUUUUUCUAGUACCUUAGGUGCAUUGGCAUUUAUUAGUCCUAAUCCUCUGAGCUCUAAGACAGGGGCGGGGAACUCCAGGCUUCGAGGGCUGGUGCCUUGCAGGUUUUACAUGUGUCCUUGAUCCAACACAGCUGAUUUAAAUGGCCAAAUUACCUCCUCAACAUGUCUUGAAGUUCUCCAAAGGCCUCAUAAUGAACUAAUCAUUUAAAUCAGGUUUG